Molecule: small nucleolar RNA, 108 nt
Filed under: Drosophila melanogaster (fruit fly)
Lineage: Eukaryota; Metazoa; Arthropoda; Insecta; Diptera; Drosophilidae
Description: partial small nucleolar RNA snoR14
Source: RNAcentral
UCUCCAGCGACUGAACAUCUCAACACUUGCAAAGAUCAGCUGUGGCAGCUGGUAAUUGCCCUGGCCUAUUAUUCAGGACUGGAGGCUUCUUGUCAGUUGUCCACAAGG